RNAcentral lists this ribosomal RNA (839 nucleotides) under Streptomyces sp. IM-0594. Its description in RNAcentral is "bacterial SSU rRNA". It matches the Rfam family "Bacterial small subunit ribosomal RNA", at positions 38 to 889 of the family's 1533-position model. Lineage: Bacteria; Bacillati; Actinomycetota; Actinomycetes; Kitasatosporales; Streptomycetaceae. The record is from RNAcentral.
GGCGGCGUGCUUAACACAUGCAAGUCGAACGAUGAAACGCCUUCGGGUGGGGAUUACUGGCGAACGGGUGAGUAACACGUGGGCAAUCUGCCCUGCACUCUGGGACAAGCCCUGGAAACGGGGUCUAAUACCGGAUACUGACCUGCCGAGGCAUCUCGGCGGGUCGAAAGCUCCGGCGGUGCAGGAUGAGCCCGCGGCCUAUCAGCUUGUUGGUGAGGUAAUGGCUCACCAAGGCGACGACGGGUAUCCGGCCUGAGAGGGCGACCGGCCACACUGGGACUGAUACACGGCCCAGACUCCUACGGGAGGCAGCAGUGGGGAAUAUUGCACAAUGGGCGCAAGCCUGAUGCAGCGACGCCGCGUGAGGGAUGACGGCCUUCGGGUUGUAAACCUCUUUCAGCAGGGAAGAAGCGAGAGUGACGGUACCUGCAGAAGAAGCGCCGGCUAACUACGUGCCAGCAGCCGCGGUAAUACGUAGGGCGCAAGCGUUGUCCGGAAUUAUUGGGCGUAAAGAGUUCGUAGGCGGCUUGUCGCGUCGGUUGUGAAAGCCCGGGGCUUAACCCCGGGUCUGCAGUCGAUACGGGCAGGCUAGAGUUCGGUAGGGGAGAUCGGAAUUCCUGGUGUAGCGGUGAAAUGCGCAGAUAUCAGGAGGAACACCGGUGGCGAAGGCGGAUCUCUGGGCCGAUACUGACGCUGAGGAGCGAAAGCGUGGGGAGCGAACAGGAUUAGAUACCCUGGUAGUCCACGCCGUAAACGGUGGGCACUAGGUGUGGGCAACAUUCCACGUUGUCCGUGCCGCAGCUAACGCAUUAAGUGCCCCGCCUGGGGAGUACGGCCGC